This 301-nucleotide ribosomal RNA is filed under the name uncultured bacterium. Its description in RNAcentral is "partial 16S ribosomal RNA". It matches the Rfam family "Bacterial small subunit ribosomal RNA", at positions 509 to 810 of the family's 1533-position model. The record is from RNAcentral.
CAGCAGCCGCGGUAAUACGUAGGUCCCGAGCGUUGUCCGGAUUUAUUGGGCGUAAAGCGAGCGCAGGCGGUUAGAUAAGUCUGAAGUGAAAGGCAGUGGCUCAACCAUUGUAGGCUUUGGAAACUGUUUAACUUGAGUGCAGAAGGGGAGAGUGGAAUUCCAUGUGUAGCGGUGAAAUGCGUAGAUAUAUGGAGGAACACCGGUGGCGAAAGCGGCUCUCUGGUCCGUAACUGACGCUGAGGCUCGAAAGCGUGGGGAGCGAACAGGAUUAGAGACCCCUGUAGUCCUGUCUCUUAUACAC